GAUGAACGCUGGCGGCGUGCCUAACACAUGCAAGUCGAGCGGAAUUUACAUGAAGCCUAGCGAUUGUUAAUUUAGUGGCGGACGGGUGAGUAACGCGUGGGUAACCUGCCUUGUACUGGGGGACAACAGUUGGAAACGACUGCUAAUACCGCAUAAGCGCACAGCUUCGCAUGAAGCAGUGUGAAAAACUCCGGUGGUACAAGAUGGACCCGCGUCUGAUUAGCUGGUUGGUGAGGUAAACGGGCCCACCAAGGCGACGAUCAGUAGCCGGCCUGAGAGGGUGAACGGCCACAUUGGGACUGAGACACGGCCCAAACUCCUACGGGAGGCAGCAGUGGGGAAUAUUGCACAAUGGGGGAAACCCUGAUGCAGCAACGCCGCGUGAGUGAAGAAGUAUUUCGGUAUGUAAAGCUCUAUCAGCAGGGAAGAAAAUGACGGUACCUGACUAAGAAGCCCCGGCUAACUACGUG
RNAcentral lists this ribosomal RNA (470 nucleotides) under uncultured bacterium. Its description in RNAcentral is "bacterial SSU rRNA". It matches the Rfam family "Bacterial small subunit ribosomal RNA", at positions 28 to 507 of the family's 1533-position model. The record is from RNAcentral.